This 117-nucleotide ribosomal RNA is filed under the name Ipomoea nil (Japanese morning glory). Lineage: Eukaryota; Viridiplantae; Streptophyta; Magnoliopsida; Solanales; Convolvulaceae. The record is from RNAcentral.
GGAUGCGAUCAUACCAGCACUAAUGCACCGGAUCCCAUCAGAACUCCGAAGUUAAGGUGCUUGGGCGAGAGUAGUACUAGGAUGGGUGACCCCCUGGAAGUCCUCGUGUUGCAUUCC